GGUAGACGCUACGGACUUAAAAAUAAUUUGAGCUUUAAUAAAAAAACUUAUUAAAUGCUAGCUUUCAGAUUCAGGGAAACUUAGGUUGAAAAAAGUAUAAGCAAUCCUGAGCCAAAUCUUUUAUAUUUUUAAUAAGAUAGGUGCAGAGACUCAAUGGAAGCUAUCCUAACGCAUAAUUUUUUAAAAUUUAUACAAUAUUUAAUUAAAUUAAAAAGCGAGGGUAAAGAGAGAGUCCAAUUUUACAUGUUAAAUUUAGCAACAAUUUAAAUUGUAGUAAAAAGAAAAUCCGUUGGCUUAAUUGACCGUGAGGGUUCAAGUCCCUCUUCCCCCAAAAGUAUUUAAUAAAAAAAAAAUUAAUGUACUUUUAAAAAUUAUUUUUUUUAUUGACACAAACUUUUAAUUUAUGUUAGUAUGUCCACGUAAAACAAGCCGGGAUAGCUCAGUUGGUAGAGCAGAGGACUGAAAAUCCUCGUGUCAC
This 478-nucleotide non-coding RNA is filed under the name Funaria hygrometrica. RNAcentral's name for it is "partial contains tRNA-Leu, trnL-trnF intergenic spacer, and tRNA-Phe". The stretch from base 9 to 256 matches the Rfam family "Group I catalytic intron". From Rfam's summary of the family: Group I catalytic introns are large self-splicing ribozymes. They catalyse their own excision from mRNA, tRNA and rRNA precursors in a wide range of organisms. The core secondary structure consists of 9 paired regions (P1-P9). Lineage: Eukaryota; Viridiplantae; Streptophyta; Bryopsida; Funariales; Funariaceae. The record is from RNAcentral.